Molecule: long non-coding RNA, 7664 nt
Filed under: Homo sapiens (human)
Lineage: Eukaryota; Metazoa; Chordata; Mammalia; Primates; Hominidae
Description: HSALNT0067357
Source: RNAcentral
UGAGGCCUCACCAUGUUGCCUAGGCUGGUACUGAACUCCAGAGCUCAAGCAAUCUUCCUGCCUUGGCAUGCUAAAGUGUUGGGAUUGUAGGCGUGAGCCACCACACCUGGCCCCAAUGUCCUUUGUUUAAAGAUGGAGAGGGGGCAAAUGGGUAAUACUGACUCUGUGAAGAGAAUGAGUCAUUUCCAGUUAUCACCAUGAUUACCUUUUAAUUUAUCUUUAAUGUUUUCUGAUAAAUGUUUUGUAAGCUGAGGCAUUUCUUCUGGAGAAUAUUCAGCAUUUGCCAGUUCCUCCUUGAGCACAGCAUGGAUACAGUCUUUAACCACAGAGGGCCUGAACCUGAAUGGAACAAUUUGUGAACAUCCAGUCGGUGACUCCACAACCCCAGCUUACCUUCAUACCGCAACUUCUCCCAUCUUUUUGUCAUUAGUACCACUUAAUCCUUCUUUUUCAUAUUUUUUAUUAUAAAAUAUAAACAAAUUAAGACAAAUCAUAGGCCACAUGUGUAUCUUCAACCUGGACCUGCACUGAACUUCAACACAUUCCAACUCAUGCUCCAUAUGAAUGUUUAUUAGGCAACUCAAUACAUCCAAUAAUGAGCUUCUCAUACUCCCCUCUCCCCCAAAACAAAAUAUAUACUUGUUGUUAAUUUUGUUCUGCACGCUUUCACAAAAUAAAAUAAAAUAAAAUAAAAUAAAAAAAUACGGCUGAAUGGCAUUCUGGGCAUUCAGAACCUUUUACCAAGAUAACUGAGGGUAUCUUUCUCUGUGUUCAUUCUACCCAAGGGAAAAAUCCUGUAUGAAAUUUGUAUCACUUUUUCUGUGAGUUACCAAGAGAAUAAAAAUAAACAAAGAAAUUUGUAUCACAUUAUAAUCAAAAUUCCUGUUUUCCAUAUUUGCCAAGCAAAUAUGGGGUGUGUGUGUGUGUGUAAAGUUAGUGAUCUUACAAACCUAGCUGAGUACCCUCUGCUCUGGCCCGUGAGCCUGACAUUUUUUUCAGUGUGUGUGUGUGUGUGUUGUGUGGUGUGUGUGUGUGUUGUGUGGUGUGUGUGUGUGUGUGUAAAGUUAGUGAUCUCACAAACCUAGCUGAGUACCCUCUGCUCUGGCCCGUGAGCCUGACAUUUUUUUCAGUGUGUGUGUGUGUGUGUGUGUGUUGUGUGGUGUGUGUGUGGUGUGUGUGUGUGUGUGUGUGUGUGUAAAGUUAGUGAUCUUACAAACCUGAGUACCCUCUGCUCUGGCCCGUGAGCCUGACAUUUUUUUUCAGUGUGUGUGUGUGUGUGUGUGUGUGUGUUGUGUGUGUGUGUGUAAAGUUAGUGAUCUUACAAACCUAGCUGAGUACCCUCUGCUCUGGCCCGUGAGCCUGACAUUUUUUUUCAGUGUGUGUGUGUGUUGUGUGUGUGUGUGUGUGUAAAGUUAGUGAUCUUACAAACCUAGCUGAGUACCCUCUGCUCUGGCCCGUGAGCCUGAUAUUUUUUUCAGUGUGUGUGUGUGUGUGUGUGUGUGUGUGUGUAAAGUUAGUGAUCUCACAAACCUAGCUGAGUACCCUCUGCUCUGGCCCGUGAGCCUGAUAUUUUUUUCAGUGUGUGUGUGUGUGUGUGUGUGUGUGUGUAAAGUUAGUGAUCUCACAAACCUAGCUGAGUACCCUCUGCUCUGGCCCGUGAGCCUUAAUCCUAGCGAGGGCUCGCUGCGGUGGUCUAAGGGCCUCCAGAUCCCACCCGGGUAGGACUUCGCACAGAUGCAGCUCCCGCGCCGGGAGUGAGCCCAUCCUGGCACCCGUGUGCACAGUCACCCUCGAAUCACGGCUGAACGGCAUCCGACGCGAGUGGCUUCCUGCCUCUAUUCUACCCAUCUCCUUACUCAGGACGCCAUCGCGGGUUUCCCAGGGCCAACCAUUCCCGCCGCGCCACCCUAAGACGCGCCCGGCGCCCAAACACUGAGGAAGCGGGUGGGGUCCCCUGCGGCCCCUGCAGCGGGAGGGGCGCCCGGACGUCACAGCAGGGCCGCCCGCCCGCCUCGCGGCCUCCCGCCUCCCGCCCCGCGGACCCCGCGCGUCCCCCGCGCUCCUUCCGUGGCCCAGGUCCCAGGCGAGCUCCGCCCCUCAGACCAGCGCGCUCGAGGUCGCCCCGCCACAGCCCGUCCUCUACCCGCCUCUGCUGGAAAACAGGCCGCAGAAUAUAGGUGUUCUCGGGCUCCCCUGCGUUCUUCUCAGCCUCAGGCACCCCCUCGCGAUGAAGGCCUAGCGGGUUGCGGUCGCGGCCGGCAGCAGGGAAAGCGUCUCCAGGGCAACAGGGCCGCCCUCCCGCCUCGCUGAAGCCCGCGAGCGCCCCGCACAGCCGCCCUCCCUGCCCGCGCCUGCGCACCGGCUGCUGGGCGGGAACUGGUCGCGUCCGGACGCGCGACAGCUUCCACCCGCCUCAGGCAGUAUCAGCCGCGCCGCAGUCGGAGGAAAUAGACGCGGGGCCUGAGGCUCCUGGACUUGAGAGGCUGCAGAAAAGGCCCAGGAGGCUGUUGAUGACAUGAACGACCACCAGGAGAAGCUGGAGCAGGCUGAUGCACAGAAGGGCGGAGAAGAGGGACACGUGCCAGACAACAGCUGCAGAGGGCUCCAGGCAGACGGAGUUCCAGAGCGAACGGUCAUACAGAUAAUUCCUAUCCCAAAAAAUAAGGAGACCAGGGGUCAGGCGAUAAGUAAGGAAAGCCAAACAGGCAACCCCAGUAGAAAACUGGGGUCUCCCCUGACCGGGUCAUGGGACUGGGCUCAUGAGGGUGACCGUUACUGCUCCAUUUGCAAUUUUCUGAGUAUCAGAGGAGCAAGAUGCUAGGAUGUGUGACCCAAAGGAGCUUGUAGUUCGUCUGUGUGUCUUUUUGUCUCUCUCUCUCUCUCUGUCUGAAAAGACCAAGCCCAAGCCUCCACCCAUUUACCUACUAUGCAGGUCUUUGAAUGGGUAACCAUAUUUCCAAGCUUGUGUCUGAUUGAAGGAUGAAACAUCAAACAUGCAAAAAGGACCAUCUUUCAGAGCAACUCCAGAAGUGACAAAGCAAAUCAGGGCUCCAAGUAAAGCCAGGCCACCUGACAACAGAGCAGUAAGCACCUGCGGAGGGAGGAGAAACACUGAGCUAAGACGGGGUCGCAGCUGGGGAGCCUGCGGAGGGAGGAGAAACGCUGAGCUAAGACGGGGUCGCAGCUGGGGAGUCUGUGGGGCGGUCUGCACAGGUCUGACUUCUCUGGUCUCAGUGUUCUUCCGUCCUGUCAUGGGGGAGAAUUCUGUCCAUGGCACCCCCUUUGAAGCAUAACCCAUGGUGGGGAGGCCGUGAGGGGUUUCUAGGAGAGAAAGGACCAAGAAGCAGAAUCGCAGGCCCCGGAUCUCCCUGACCGUGAGUUCGCCUGAGCUGCUCAGCAGCUUGGCAUCACAAACCUUUUGCACAUUACAGCCAUUCAGCCUCUGAGCUAAAGAAGAAGCUACCACAGGCCCACCACUGACUCUUCUAAGGAAAAGCUGCAUUUUCAAAAGUUCCAGGUUCCCAACUCUGAUUCUUCUCUAUUUCAAAUCAAGGAUAAAAAAAAGGAAGGGAGGGAAGGAAGGAAAGAAAGAAGCAGGAAAGAAGGGAAGGAGAGAAGUGGGAGGGAGGGAAAGAAGGGAGAGAAACAGCGAGAGAGAAGCUGCAGCCAAGCUCUGAAAUGACUCCACUUCUGUCGCUGUGUUUCUCCAGCUGAGAGCUUUCUUGGCCAUCAGUCUGUGCUCCCACUGCCCUCCCAGAAAAUAACUGGGUUUCCUUCCUUGACAGGUUUCUAGCCUGCUUCUACAUUGGCUUCUUUCUCGUUCCUUCCUUCCUUCCCUUCCUUCCUUCUUUCUCUCUCUCUCUUUCUUUUUGAGACAGAGUCUCACUCUGUCGCCCAGGCUGGAGUGCAGUGGCACGAUCUCAGCUCACUGCAACCUCUGCCUCUGAGUUCAAGCGAUUCUCCUGCCUCAGCCUCCCAAGUAGCUGGGACUACAAGCAUGCGCCACCACACCCAGCUAAUUUUUGUAUUUUUAGUAGAAAUGGGGUUUCACUGUGUUGGUCAUGCCGGUCUCAAUCUCCUGACCUUGUGAUCCACCUGCUUCAGCCUCCCAAAGUGCUGGGAUUACAGGCAUGAGCCACCGUGCCCGGCCCAUAUUGGAUUCUUUCUUAGGGUUCUAGAUUUUUUUCUCCCUCCCCCAAAAAUGCCUAUUUUAAAAAUGUGAAUAACACCUACAUAGCGUUUUUCUGCAGAGUCAUGGAGUCAUUCUCCCACUGAGGUCAAGCUGGUUUGGAGUUGGGGAGGGAUCAGACAAAGGUGCAUAGUAAGUUUUGACUCUGAGUUAAAGGAGUCAAGAUGAAUCAGUAAGCCUAGGGCAGUGGUUCCCAAAAUGGGGUCCCUGCCCAGCCGCAUCACAUCACCUGAGAACCUGUUAGAAAUGCAAAACUUCCCCGCCAUCCUGAAUCAGAAACUCUGGGGAGGGAGCCCAGCAAUCCGUGUUCCGGCAAAAGCCCUCCAGGUGAUUCUCAUGCACAUUCAAGUGUCAGAACUACGUGCCACGGGGAAAACCAGAAUGAGAACAGACAGUGAAUGAAAUGUGCAAGUGUUUAUUUAUUUAUCUAUGUACUUAUUUAUUUAUUUAUUUUGAAACGGAGUCUCGCUCUGUCGCCCAGGCUGGAGUGCAGUGGCGCCAUCUCGGCUCACUGCAAGCUCCGCCUCCCGGGUUCAAGAGAUUUUCCUGCCUCAGCCUCCUGAGUUGCUGGGAUUACAGGCGCCCACCACCACGCCCAGCUAAUUUUUGUAUUUUUGGUAGAGACGGGGUUUCACCAUGUUGGCCAGGCUGGUCUCAAACUCCUGACCUCAGGUGAUCCGCCCAUCUUGGCCUCCCAAAGUGCUGGGAUUACAGGCGUGAGCCACCGCGCCUGGCCUAUAUUUGAUUUUUUAACAUGUAACUGAGUCAGUGGGCUUCCCAACAUGUGGGCUGCAGAUAUCAGAGCAGGCUGUGGAGUUACCAUAAGGCCACAGAUUCAUGUCUGAGAACGAGUGUGUGUGUGUGUGUGUGUGUGUGUUUGUUACACACACAUAUACUGAGAUCUUUCAAGUUUAUACAGUUGCUGCUGUAAUUAAUAAGGUAGAAAUUUAUUCUGGGCCUCAGUUUAUCUGUAAAAUGGAGGGGUUAGAUUAGAAUCUAGUGAUUAGAUGAUCUCUGGAAAACUUUCCUGUUCUAAGAAAAUAUUAGUUAAAAUAACUAGGAAAAUUUCCAUCAAUGACACAUGAUUACAGUGUCAUAACUCAUGUCCAUAUUGUCCAACACCCUAAGAGAGUAACAGUUUCUCACACUGGUACAGACGUCUGGGUCCUCACACUGGUACAGACGUCUGGGCUUCACUAAGCACUACUCCCUUGACUUGAUCAGCUCCCAUUUUACAGAUGAAAGCCUGAAACUGGAAAGAUGAAGCAACUUGCCCAAGAACUUAGCGUUACUGAGGGUCACAGUGAGGACCUGACUUCAGGCCCCAAGACCAAAAUUGCCUCUUUACCGCCCUGCCUCUAGAGUAAUAGAGGUGGAGACAUUCUGGGUGUUAGAAGAGUGGAAUCUGGUGCUUACGCUUCGACAGAGCCCACUCUUACUGAAGCAGCCGUAUCUCCAGCCCAUCAAGGAGAUGAGGAUAGCUGCAGUGAGUACCUGCAGGAGAGAGAAGAAUGUUGAGAUGGGGAAAUCGACUUUGCCGGCUGUUUCUAGGUGCUGCCCACAGCUGUUAGAGUGGCUGGCAGCUCACAUGAACGCAGUCCUGUUGACUCUGACUCUGGGGACCCACAUUUGUAUGACGAGCCUGAUCUAACGCUGUGGAUGUUAACUUUCACACCCGACCUGCCUGGUCCCAAGCUAGGCUUCCUGUCUCUUAGAGCUUCUACAGACCCAAGAUCAGCUUGUUAGAAUAAACUUUUCUGCAAGGAAUCAAAACACUCUUCCCAUGCCACCUUCCUGCUCCCCGCCGGGGUCUCUUUGAGAGUUCACGUUCAGGGAACCCCGGACACUUACCAUGAGGCCUCCUCCCCAGAGCCCAGUUCCCAGCAUGGCAUGCCUGCCAAGGAGGCCCCUCAACAGGUAGGUGACAUCCCAGUUAGGAAGGAGGAGUGCCACGUUGGCCCCAGCAGCAAACAGGGCUGCAGUCCCAAGGCUCAGUCCCAGGAUACGGGAGCAAGUCCGUGAGCUUGCCUGCGUGCAGGGAGAGGACACCAUCCUGGAACAGAUAGAAAGGGAGUCGCAGCAGCUCUGCUGUGGGGGGAUGGGGAAGGGAACUCCAGCAGCAUAUCAUGGGUGAGGGAAACAGACUACAGAAACCGCCACCUUCCAGGGUCAGACCAAUGAGAGCCAAGCAACCUGCUUAAAAACUCUGCUCCUUAGGAAUCUUCCCCAGUGACUAGGAUUUAAUUGUUUCCUUUUCUGCUAACCCCUGUUCACACAUACAUAGUUUGCAUUCCAUCAUAUUUUGUUUAUGCCUCUAUUACAGCCAGUGAUUAUUUCUGACAAAAAGAAAUGUUUAAAGGUGUCUUCAUGAUGUCCAUUGUCUCCACUUCUAUUCAACGUUGUACUGGUCCUGGCCAGUGCAAUACGAAAAUAAAAGGAAGCAAAAGCCACACAGAUAGGAAAGAAAGAAGUAAUAUUGUCGGCCAGGCAUGGUGGCUCAGGCCUGUAAUCCCAGCACUUUGGGAGGCUGAGGCAGGCGGAUCACGAGGUCAGGAGUUCAAGACCAGCCUGGCCAACAUGGUGAAACCCCGUCUCUACUAAAAAUACAAAAAUUAGCUGGGCACGGUGGUGGGUGCCUGUAAUCCCAGCUACUGGGGAGACUGAGGCAGGAGAAUUGCUUGAACCCGGGAGGCAGAGGUUGCAGUGAGCUGAGAUCAUGCCACUGCACUCCAGCCUGGGUGACACAGCAAGACUCCAUCUUAAAAAAAAAAAAAAGUAACAUUGUUAUUAUUCACAGAUAAUGUGAUCACAUUAUGUAGAAAAUCCUAAAGUUUAUUAGAAUUAACAGGUGAGUUUAGCAACGUCAUAGAAUAAAAGAUUAAUAUACAAAAAUUAUAUUGUAUUUCUAUAUACAAGCAAUGACAAAUUGAGGAUUGAAAUUAAAAUAUAUCAUUUACAAUAGCAUAAAAAUAUAAUACAUAUGGAUGAAUUUAACAAAAUAUUUGCAAGACCUAUAUAGUAAGAAUUGCAAAGCAUUGCUGAGAAAAUUAAUGGAGACCUAAAUAAAUGGAGACAUAUACCAUGUUCCUGAACCAGAAGACUCAAAAUAGUUAACAUGUUCUCCCUAAAUUGAUGCAAAGAUUUAAAGCAAUAUCAGUCAAAAUCCUAGGAGAGUUUUGUUAUAGAAAUUGACAAACUGAAUCUAAAUUUAUAUGGAAAUGCAAAGCAAUUGUGAAGAUUAGCCAAAGCAAUUCUGAAAAACAAACAAAGCUGGAGAACUUACGCCAUGUGAUUUCAAGACUUACAAAGCUACAGUAAUUGAAGACACUGAAGCCACGCGUAAGGAAACACAUAUGGACUACUGGAACAGGCUGGAGCUCAGAAACAGACCCGGUCCAGGAAAAAUGAUUUUUUUUUUUUCUUGAGACGGAGUCUCGCUCUGUUGCUCAGGCUGGAGUGCAGUGGCGCGAUCUCA